Molecule: ribosomal RNA, 253 nt
Filed under: uncultured bacterium
Lineage: Bacteria
Description: partial 16S ribosomal RNA
Rfam family: Bacterial small subunit ribosomal RNA
Source: RNAcentral
UACGAAGGGGGCUAGCGUUGCUCGGAAUCACUGGGCGUAAAGGGCGCGUAGGCGGCGUUUUAAGUCGGGGGUGAAAGCCUGUGGCCCAACCACAGAAUGGCCUUCGAUACUGGGACGCUUGAGUAUGGUAGAGGUUGGUGGAACUGCGAGUGUAGAGGUGAAAUUCGUAGAUAUUCGCAAGAACACCGGUGGCGAAGGCGGCCAACUGGACCAUUACUGACGCUGAGGUGCGAAAGCGUGGGGAGCAAACAGG